Molecule: long non-coding RNA, 3106 nt
Filed under: Prunus persica (peach)
Lineage: Eukaryota; Viridiplantae; Streptophyta; Magnoliopsida; Rosales; Rosaceae
Description: long non-coding RNA (PPER_LNC005209)
Source: RNAcentral
UUUUACCUUAUAGAUGAUGCAUAGAUAAAAACCUCUAAAAGUAAUUAUAUAAGACACACACAUGAACUUUACCUUAUAAAUGUUGCAUAGAUAAAAACCUGUAAAAGUAAUGAUAUGAGAUACACACAUAAACUUUACCUUAUAUAUGCUGGAUAGAUGAUUUCAUCAUUCUUCUCUAAGAUGGCAUUAUAGAAACCUCUAAAUUUAACCGACUCAAAUUUGACUUGGAAAAUAACGAUUUUGCAAACAAAUUUCAAUUUAGUCAUAAGAUGAUGAUGGUAUGGAUGUUUAUACUUUUUUUUUUUUUUUUUGUGUGGCAAAAGCAUCAGAUCUGAGACUGAUAUCAAAGAGGGGCCAAACAUGAGACACUAAUCAUCAACAAAAGGAUGUUUAUACUAACAAAAUAUAUUAUAGAGGAGUGUCCGACUCUCACAAAAACGAAUUGCAAAUUCACCCAAAUCACUCCAACACAGAUGAGUAAAUAACAAAAUUCAAAUUAGAGGACAAAACUAGAUUUGGAGUAAAGUAGCUCAAACAAAAAGAUAAAAAAUCACUCAAAUCACUUCCACACAAAGUUGAGUCAAGAAUGAAGUUUAGAUUAGAAAACAAAACUAGAUGUAAAGUAGCUCAAACAAAAAGAGAAAAAAUCACCCAAAUCACUCCCACACAGAUGAGUCAAGAACAAAGUUGAGAUUAGAGAACAAAACCAGAUCUGAAGUUCAGUAGCUCAAACAAAAAGAGAAAAAAUCACCCAAAUCACUCCCACACGGAUGAGUCAAGAACAAAGUUCAUAUUAGAGAACAAAACCAGAUUUGAUGUUCAGUAGCUCAAAUAAAAGGAAAAAUCACCUAAUCAUUCCCACACAGAUGAGUCAAGAACAAAGUUCAUAUUAGAGAACAAAACUAGAUCUGAAGUUUAGUAGCUCAAACAAAAAGAGAAAAAUCACCCAAAUCACUCCCACAUAGUCAUGUCAAGAACAAAGUUUAGAUUAGAGAACAAAAUCAGAUCUGAAGUUUAGUAGCUCGAACAAAAAGAGAAAAAAAAUCAACCAAAUCACUUUCGCGCAAAGUUCAAAUUAGAGAACAAAACUAGAUCUGAAAUAGGUCAAACACGAAAGGAAAAAAAUCACCCAAAUCACUACCAUACAGACGAGUCAAGAACAACGUUUAGAUUAGGGAACAAUACCAGAUCUAAAGUAUCUCCAAUAAAAAAGAAAAAAAUCACGCAAAUUACUCCCACUCAGAUGAGUCAAGAAUAAAGUUUAGAUUAGAGAACAAAACCAGAUCUGAAGUAGCUCAAACAAAAAAGGAAAAAUAAUCACCCAAAUUACUCCCACUCAGAUGAGUCAAGAACAAAGUUUAGAUUAGAGAACAAAACCUGAUCUGAAGUAGCUCAAACAAAAAAGGAAAAAUAAUCACCCAAAUUCCUCCCACACAGAUGAGUGAAGAAUGAAGUUCAGAUUAGAGAACAAAACCAUAUUUGAAGUAGCUCAAACAAAAAAGGAAAAAAAUAAUCCAAAUCACUCCCACACAGAUGAGUCAAGAACAAAGUUCAUGUUAGAGAACAAAACCAGAUAUGAAGUAGCUCAAACAAAAGAGAAACAAAUGUAUUUUUCUCUCACAAAAUAAAGAAAAGAUUUUCUUCACUUAUAUAUGUUGUGAGCACCUUAAUUCACAUUCACCUUAGAUGUUUCUGGCUCUCUCAAAUUGUUCCAAAAGAGAGAAUUUUCUCUCUUACUAAAAUGUGGAGGCACACUAAACACAGUGAGAAGAUGAUGUAUAUAUAGGUGAUUCUAGGUGACUCAAAACCCUAAGCUGCAAGAACAAAUAGGCCUCAUGGUCUUACUUAAAACCAACCAAAUGGGCUUACUUAACAUCUUUUUCAUUCAUUAACUUGAAGGGGAAAAAAAGGACCAAAAGAAAUUUAGCAGAUUAGGAACCUUGUGCUUACCCCUGACUGUGUAUUACACAUUGAACAACAUUUGUUCCAGUGUAUCGGUUGUGCAUCUAGACCCCUGCCACUGCGAUCUUAGAAUUGCAUUCUAGUUUUUGGUUCAAAUUUUCAAUAUGGUCGCUGAUAUCUUCUCUCUUGAGAAAGUCCAAGAACAUCCGUUGUCUAAAUCAUUCUUGGCCCUAACCAUCUUCUCCAAUUUCUCAAAAAUCUCUUAUUAAAGUUCAUUUAUAUCAACAUUUAUGUACAGAAAAAAAUGAUAAUACGAUUAAAUAUCAGUGUAAGUAAAUACCUCACUGCAGCUCUUACAACAAAUUCCCAGUUGAGGUUGUAGCUAUCUCCACUUCAGCUGGUUCUUAUUUAUUGCUUAUUUCACUUCUUCGAACAAUGCUAGUGCUCUUUGCUUGCCUUCUCGGGGGCCUCCUUUUGUACUCAGGAUCAUCAGAACUAUCUGUUUCAUCAUGUGCAAACACCAAACUACUUCAAUUACUUCAAUAUCCCAGCUUUUCAUUUCUAUUUCUAAGCUCAUACACCAUUGUUUUGGUUCAACAAUAUUCCUGCUUUGUAGUUUUGGUUCACAUUUCACAUAUACGUAAUUAAAUUAACAUAAAUACUGGAUCGUUUAAGCUUGUUAACGCCAAAAAUGGGGUUCAACUUAGAUAGAUAUGGAGUGGUGGAUGGUGUGUGAAGACGUGGGCCUUCAGUAUGUGUAUGUGCCUUCGGGAUGCAAAGCAAGAGGCUGCCUUCUGUAAUCGAUGACAUUCAACAUAAGUAAAGUAAAUAAGCAUGCAGAAGACAAGGUAUACAUGGUUCACCCGAAUAAUAGGCUACGUCCACGGAGAAGGAUGUUCUCAUUGUGAUAAUGUUUACAUUUGUACAAAAGGAUUAGACCCAAAGAUAAAGAGAAGAAGGCCCAAGGCUUAAGGUACAAAGCCCAAGAGUCCAAGGGGUCCAAAGAUCAAGCCCCCUUUCUAAAUGGAGAAUGGUCUUCUUUUCUAGGUGAAGGAGAGUCUCUACCUCUUGUAGUAUUCCAAUGUGGGACUCUUGACAUUGCCCCUAGUUGUGACUUGUGGCAAGGCUUCUUUGGCUAAGGUGACGACCUCUCAAAGCAUGGCACAUGGCUGAUCUUGCCUAGCUAGUUGCUCGGUUAGUCACG